This 468-nucleotide ribosomal RNA is filed under the name uncultured bacterium. Its description in RNAcentral is "partial 16S ribosomal RNA". It matches the Rfam family "Bacterial small subunit ribosomal RNA", at positions 28 to 507 of the family's 1533-position model. The record is from RNAcentral.
GACGAACGCUGGCGGCGUGCUUAACACAUGCAAGUCGAACGGAAAGGCCCUGCUUUUGUGGGGUGCUCGAGUGGCGAACGGGUGAGUAACACGUGAGUAACCUGCCCUUGACUUUGGGAUAACUUCAGGAAACUGGGGCUAAUACCGGAUAUGAGCUCCUGCUGCAUGGUGGGGGUUGGAAAGUUUCGGCGGUUGGGGAUGGACUCGCGGCUUAUCAGCUUGUUGGUGGGGUAGUGGCUUACCAAGGCUUUGACGGGUACCCGGCCUGAGAGGGUGACCGGCGACAUUGGGACUGAGGGACGGCAGCGACUCGUACGGGAGGCAGCAGGGGGGAAUAUUGCACGAGGGGCGGAAGCCGGAUGCAGAAACGCCGCGGGCGGGAUGACGGCCUUCGGGGUGUAAACCGCUUUCGCCUGUGACGAAGCGUGAGUGACGGUAAUGGGUAAAGAAGGACCGGCUAACUACGGG